RNAcentral lists this ribosomal RNA (207 nucleotides) under uncultured bacterium. RNAcentral's name for it is "partial 16S ribosomal RNA". It matches the Rfam family "Bacterial small subunit ribosomal RNA", at positions 568 to 774 of the family's 1533-position model. The record is from RNAcentral.
CUCGUAGGCGGUUUGUCGCGUCGGGAGUGAAAACACCAGGCUUAACUUGGUGCUUGCUUCCGAUACGGGCAGACUAGAGGUAUGCAGGGGAGAACGGAAUUCCUGGUGUAGCGGUGAAAUGCGCAGAUAUCAGGAGGAACACCGGUGGCGAAGGCGGUUCUCUGGGCAUUACCUGACGCUGAGGAGCGAAAGUGUGGGGAGCGAACA